GACGAACGCUGGCGGCGUGCUUAACACAUGCAAGUCGAACGGAAAGGCCCUGCUUUUGUGGGGUGCUCGAGUGGCGAACGGGUGAGUAACACGUGAGUAACCUGCCCUUGACUUUGGGAUAACUUCAGGAAACUGGGGCUAAUACCGGAUAGGAGCUCCUGCUGCAUGGUGGGGGUUGGAAAGUUUCGGCGGUUGGGGAUGGACUCGCGGCUUAUCAGCUUGUUGGUGGGGUAGUGGCUUACCAAGGCUUUGACGGGUAGCCGGCCUGAGAGGGUGACCGGCCACAUUGGGACAGAGAUACGGCCCAGACUCCUCCGGGAGGCAGCAGUGGGGAAUAUUGCACAAUGGGCGGAAGCCUGAUGCAGCAACGCCGCGUGCGGGAUGACGGCCUUCGGGUUGUAAACCGCUUUCGCCUGUGACGAAGCGUGAGUGACGGUAAUGGGUAAAGAAGCACCGGCUAACUACG
RNAcentral lists this ribosomal RNA (466 nucleotides) under uncultured bacterium. Its description in RNAcentral is "partial 16S ribosomal RNA". It matches the Rfam family "Bacterial small subunit ribosomal RNA", at positions 28 to 505 of the family's 1533-position model. The record is from RNAcentral.